Long non-coding RNA from Callithrix jacchus (white-tufted-ear marmoset), 930 nucleotides. RefSeq lists it as uncharacterized. NCBI's taxonomy places the organism in Eukaryota, Metazoa, Chordata, Mammalia, Primates, Cebidae. The record is from RefSeq and is a predicted model, not a curated record.
GCAAAAAAAUGGGAAAGAAAAAAGGAAGUCGCUUCAACCCAGCCGGUAGGACGGUAAGACACCGCCGGGCGGAAGUGACGCGCGGAGAGGGUGCGAGCCAUUUGAGCAAGAGGCGCCGCUCUAGCAACUCUGGAUUUUUUGUGUGAGGCUGAAACUGUUGGAGCCUUCCUGCUACCAUCCUUGAGAAUGGAGCAACCACACAGGGCUGAGAUACUCUCCUCCUGCCUUUGGACAUCAGAACUCCAGGCUCUCCAGACUUGGAACGCCAGGACUCACAACAGUGGCCUCCCAGGUUGGAAGAAUCACAAGAUUAGGUGACGGCUAGUGCAGAGAGGACCAUAAAACCAUUUCCAGCGUCCUCUCACCUUGAAGUUUAUGGGCAAUUGCAGAUACUCAUUGUGGACAAGAAAGAAAAUCAGGGAUGAUCAGGCAAUUUAUAGCCACUGCUCAGCCACAGACUGUAUGUGUCUUUGAUGAAAUGUUCAUAGUAUUUUGGUAAAGUAACAGUUUUAACAAAAUAAGCGUUAAUAUUUCCUAUACUUAUGAAAAAAAGAUGUUUCUGCCUAUGACUAGGGACAAAUACAGCAAUAGGAUUUACUUGUUCAAUGAGACUGAGGUUUCUAGGAAUUUGCGUGGUUAAUGCUACUAGAAAAUUCAGUUCCCAAGUGUCAAAGAGUCAGCUUCCUAAAAAGGUGAGUCAAUUUGUGAAACCUUAGAGAAUCACUGGGAAAUAGUCAAACUCUUAGAGCAUGAAAAAUCCACUGAGCUGUUUUACUUGCUUUACUCCUUUAAAAAAUGGAAUGCAAAUAUUUCCCCCUUGCAUCCAAGGAGAGGAAAUGAGUGAAAACCACAUAGAUGCAAAUUAUUGUCAGGGUUCUAGUUUCAUGUUAGAUGGUGGUUUUAACAAUGUGUAUUACAUUAUUGUUGUUA